GAUGAACGCUAGCGGCAGGCUUAAUACAUGCAAGUCGUGGGGCAGCAGGUUUGUAGCAAUACAGAUGCUGGCGACCGGCAAACGGGUGCGGGACACGUACAGAACCUUCCUUUGAGCGGGGAAUAGCCCAGAGAAAUUUGGAUUAAUACCCCAUAGUAUAAUGAAGUGGCAUCACUUUAUUAUUAAAGAUUUAUCACUCGAAGAUGGCUGUGCGGCUGAUUAGGUAGUUGGCGGGGUAAAGGCCCACCAAGCCUGCGAUCAGUAACUGGUGUGAGAGCACGACCAGUCACACGGGCACUGAGACACGGGCCCGACUCCUACGGGAGGCAGCAGUAAGGAAUAUUGGUCAAUGGAGGCAACUCUGAACCAGCCAUGCCGCGUGGAGGAUGAAGGUCCUCUGGAUUGUAAACUUCUUUUAUAUGGGACGAAAAAGGCUUUUCUAAGUCGUCUGACGGUACCAUAUGAAUAAGCACCGGCUAACUCCGUGCC
Molecule: ribosomal RNA, 489 nt
Filed under: uncultured bacterium
Lineage: Bacteria
Description: bacterial SSU rRNA
Rfam family: Bacterial small subunit ribosomal RNA
Source: RNAcentral